UACGUAGGGGGCAAGCGUUGUCCGGAAUCAUUGGGCGUAAAGAGCGUGUAGGCGGUCCGUUAAGUCGGCUGUGAAAGUCCAAGGCUCAACCUUGGGAUGCCGGUCGAUACUGCCGGACUAGAGUUCGGAAGAGGCGAGUGGAAUUCCUGGUGUAGCGGUGAAAUGCGCAGAUAUCAGGAGGAACACCGGUGGCGAAGGCGGGUCUCUGGGCCGAAACUGACGCUGAGGAGCGAAAGCGUGGGGAGCAAACAGG
Molecule: ribosomal RNA, 253 nt
Filed under: uncultured bacterium
Lineage: Bacteria
Description: partial 16S ribosomal RNA
Rfam family: Bacterial small subunit ribosomal RNA
Source: RNAcentral